This 2442-nucleotide small RNA is filed under the name Histoplasma capsulatum. RNAcentral describes it as "hypothetical RNA". RNAcentral also lists the same sequence under 1 other name. Lineage: Eukaryota; Fungi; Ascomycota; Eurotiomycetes; Onygenales; Ajellomycetaceae. The record is from RNAcentral.
AGACCUCGAUACUAAACAACACUUUCAUUGCUUGAAAAAUGGCAAAUCAUUCAUUUUAAACAGGAAACGCCGCCCCAUCACCCCUCAUAUCACUUCCAGCGCUAUAAACCCGCUUCUGCUCGUCAUAAUGGCACCGGAUGACCUGGCCCCGCCCAAACAUCCCACGCUUGAACCCUUUCAACACUUCGACAUUAUGUCCCAAUUUCUUCAGCUCUUCUACCACCGACUCCUUGAUCCCUUCUUCUAAAUAUACCACAUGUCUCAAUGGCUUGCCCCGCUCCGGCAUCCCCGCUCCAAUGCAGAUACGGGGAGCAUCCAGCGCCGUCUGCGGGGUUUGGUCAAACGCAAGCAUGUUCAUCAGCACCUGCACAUGGCCCUGCGGCUGCAUGAAGCCGCCCAUCACUCCAUACACUGUGUGAAGGGAGUUAUCUGAUGUAUUGGUGACCAUGGCUGGGAUGAUGGUAUGGUAGGGGCGCUUACGGGGCGCGAGGACGUUGGGAUGGCCUGGUGUCAGCGAGAAGUUUGCCCCGCGGUUCUGCAGCGUGAAGCCACAGCCUUGCGGGAUGAUGCAGGUGCCGAAGCCGCCGUAGUUGCUGUUGAUGAAGGACAUGCCGUUGCCUUCCUGGUCUGUCACGGCGAAGUAGACCGUGUCGCAGUGGUUGUGAGCGGGGCUGCCGUGGUCGAUGACGUCACAAGCCUUAUCCGGAUCGAAGAGCUCUGCGCGUUUGGCGAGGUAAGCGCGGGAAAUUAAUUCCUCGGACGGGACGUUUUCGACAUCUGGAUCCGUCACCCACCAGCUUGCGUCGGCAAAAGCGAUUCGUAGGCUUUCGAUGACGGCGUGGAGGUAGACGCUGGAGUUGUGUUGUUCGGCCGCGAAGUGGGGGAUCUUGCCGGUUCUGGACAGUUCUUCCAAGAUACCCAAUGCCAUUAAAGCAACGAUACCUUGGCCAUUGGGGGGGUGCUCCCAGAUUUCUAUUUCGCCUUUGCCAUCACGCUUGAUUCCGCCAAUGUCGGUUGGGUUGAGCUUUAAAGAAAUUGCGUCUACAUCUUGACUGCCUGUUUCCAUGUGAUAUUUCAAAUCGUCAAGUGAAAGACGGCCACCGAGAUCUUGGACCACCUUGAUAAUUGCUUCCCCAAUACGGCCUUGAUAGAAGCCCUUUUUGCCUUCCUUUGCCAGUGUUCGAAAGGUUUGGGCAAGAGUGGGGUUCUUGAAUAUUUCCCCCGCCUGUGGACAUCUCACUCCAUCCUUCCCACUGGGGCUGGGUUUCAGCAUCUCUCUAAAGUUUGGUGAUGCGUCACGGAUGAGCUUUUCGCUUUCUGCCCACUAUAUUGUUGGUUGGCUCAUUAGCAACGAACAAGUUGGCCAAGGGGCGCGGGGGGCAAUAAAUCAAUCGUAACAGAGGAUAAUGCACAUACAAAUGACGCGGCGAGCUCAGACACAGGAAAUCCCUCCUCUCCCAAUUCGAUGGCUGGUGUCAAAAUCUGUUCCAAUGACAACUUCCCGCUUCCGAAGCGUUCCACGGUGUCGAUCCAUCCGGCAGCUGCACCUGGCGUCGUCACAGCAUGUACGCUGGUCAUCGGAAUUUUGCCCUCCUCGCCAGCAGCAAGACGUAACUCCUUGCGAACAAAAUCCAGAGAAAUAUUGGCCGCUGCGCGGCCCGAGCCAUUGAGGGCAUGCACUUUUUUGGUCCUUGCGUUAUAAAACAAACAGAACAUAUCACCUCCAAUACCUGUUGAAGACGGUUCUGUUAUGUUGAGAGCCGCAGCUAAUCAUGUGCCAAUAGUAUACAUCAGCCAUCGACCUCACUAGCCUGGUAGAUAUAUAAUAAUAUAUAAUAAAAGGGGCAUUCUGCCACCAUAAAUCGCUCACAUACCAACCGCCACAGCGGCAUCCUGCAAUAAUCAUUUAGUUACGAAGUCCACAGAGCAAUUAGAUAGAAAGCAACGAGAUUUGGAAAACCUGAGGAGAGAAGAAAGAGAAUCAAUGGCGCUUACCGCAGCAUUUCCUCCAUCUCUAAGGAUCCUUUGCCCUGCAGCUGCGGCUAGGGGCUGUGUACAGGCAAUGAUGCCUUUCGUGCUGUGAACAACACUUCGUCUACUGGGGAAUGCGCAGAACUUGGGCUCUGGGGCCGAGAAGACGUCACAGGCAUUCAAAGGCAUCUUUACGGGUAUUCGUCAGUUGCCAAAGGACUGAUAGUUGAUAGUGAUCUAGCACGCGCGAGCAACGGGUGCAAAGGUGUGUUGGAUAGGUACUAGUACUUGUAGUAAUGAAGGAGUCAACAGAUUUACAUAUACGAAUGUAUAAUGAAUACAUAUCCAGGCCGAUGAUUCACCGUAUUGCCGGCCGAGAAAUGAAGUUUGGCGAUAAACUGGCUUUGCCGUGGGGCAGAUGUCAAAAUGGACCCCUCCUACAGCCGGAGAUCACAUGACGUUGAAGCGGGC